RNAcentral lists this ribosomal RNA (480 nucleotides) under uncultured bacterium. Its description in RNAcentral is "bacterial SSU rRNA". It matches the Rfam family "Bacterial small subunit ribosomal RNA", at positions 49 to 504 of the family's 1533-position model. The record is from RNAcentral.
CUAUACAUGCAAGUUGAACGCUUCUUUCUUAUCGAACUUCGGUUCACCAAGAAAGAAGAGUAGCGAACGGGUGAGUAACACGUGGGUAACCUGCCCAUCAGCGGGGGAUAACACUUGGAAACAGGUGCUAAUACCGCAUAAUACUUUUUCUCUCAUGAGUGUAAGUUGAAAGGCGCUUUUGCGUCACUGAUGGAUGGACCCGCGGUGCAUUAGCUAGUUGGUAGGGUAACGGCCUACCAAGGCAAUGAUGCAUAGCCGAGUUGAGAGACUGAUCGGCCACAAUGGAACUGAGACACGGUCCAUACUCCUACGGGAGGCAGCAGUAGGGAAUCUUCCACAAUGGGCGCAAGCCUGAUGGAGCAACACCGCGUGAGUGAAGAAGGGUUUCGGCUCGUAAAACUCUGUUGUUGAAGAAGAACGUGCAUGAGAGUAACUGUUCAUGCAGUGACGGUAUUCAACCAGAAAGUCACGGCUAACUAC